This is a long non-coding RNA of Paramacrobiotus metropolitanus, 1132 nucleotides long. RefSeq lists it as uncharacterized. The record is from RefSeq and is a predicted model, not a curated record. Lineage: Eukaryota; Metazoa; Tardigrada; Eutardigrada; Parachela; Macrobiotidae. The transcript is spliced from 3 exons.
AGCGCGCGGGGAAUCUGCCGGUUAACGAGCGGGGCUUAACCUGAUAUUUUACUGCAUGUUCUGACACCUCCCAACUAAUCUAAGGCCUUCUCCGUCUGCCCAUUUUAUUCCAUCGUACCUCCAUGUCCAAUCAGUGUUGUUUAACUUUUGCAUGGGCGAAUUUGCCCCAGGUUGUGAUGCGGGCAGUGUACCCCUGUACGCGGGUGUUUAUCAAUUAGCCAAACUUGCCACAAUUCUCCCGCGGACAUCGUUUGGCGUUUGUAUGUGUGCAUAUAUAAUUGUGCAAUGUGGCAGAAAGUUUUCCAGCCGCCUGCCCCGGCAUGAGAGGCCCGACCUUAAUGUUCUUGUAUUUUUCCGCGCGCACUGGCCCUCUUACAGACCAGCAAAAAAGGACCCCGGGUGACGGCGGUAAUGCUCGGAUGAAUCUUGGAUGUUGAACUGCACAACUUCAUCACAGCGCGCGUCUAUCCAUCACUGUCAGUGUCUUUUCGUCCACGGGAUUAUUAACACCGGCAAUAGACGUCCGCGACGAAUGCUUCCAGCAAAAUAACUGGAAUUAUUGAGAGCUCACAAAGCGACAAAUAAUCUUCUUUUUUGUGCGACGUUGCGGAAGUAACGCUGCCGUCACAGUGCGCCGACGAGAGCCAACUUUUAACUAGGAAAGUUUUAAGUGCUGACGAUGCCGUUUUGUGAUUUGCCUAUAUUGUUAAGAGUUAAUUCGAAGCAAACGGUCUAUUGUACACUCUUCCUCCGGACCAGGAUCUUACCCGCCGGCAGCAUUUGGGAUCGUCACGACUAACUCGCAUCGUUAAAUUAGGGAGAUUUACGCAACCCGGCCUGUUUACGUGGAAACUCAAUGACUACCGCCUAGCAUACUGACGGUGGAGUUAAGAAACAAACCAAGAAGCACUCCGUGUUUAUGAAAGUUGACGCUGUAUGGGAGACGGUAUCAAUCAAGUCCACAACGGAUAUUAAAAACUGCUCAGAAUAAACUUGCAGUUACUGUAGUGCGCAAGACCUUCUGUUGAAAACUUUUGACUUGGAAAGGGACCUAUGGAUGCGACUACAUAAAUAUUUCAAGCAAACGGAAGCGCACUUUUUGCACCGCAUCGACGUAUAAAAAACUGACCGG